Molecule: ribosomal RNA, 468 nt
Filed under: uncultured bacterium
Lineage: Bacteria
Description: partial 16S ribosomal RNA
Rfam family: Bacterial small subunit ribosomal RNA
Source: RNAcentral
GAUGAACGCUGGCGGCGUGCCUAACACAUGCAAGUCGAACGGAAAGGCCCUGCUUUUGUGGGGUGCUCGAGUGGCGAACGCGUGAGUAACACGCGAGUAUCCUGCACUUGAAUGUGGGAUAUAUUCAGGAAACUGGGGCUAAUAUCCGAUAGGAGCUCCUGCUGCACGGUGUGCGUUGGAAAGUUUCGGCGGUUGGGGAUGGACUCGCGGCUUAUCAGCUUGUUGGUGGGGUAGGGGCUUACCAAGGCUUUGACGGGUAGCCGGCCUGGGAGGGGGACCGGCCACAUUGGGACUAAGAGACGGCCCAGACUCCUACGGGACGCAACAGUGGGAAAUAUUGCAGAAUGAGCGGAAGCCUGAUGCAGAAACGCCGCGUGCGGGAUAACGGCCUUCUGGUUGUAAACCACUUUCGCCUGUGACGAAGCGUGAGUGACGGUAAUGGGUAAAGAAGCACCGGCUAACUACGUG